UGGGGAAUAUUGGACAAUGGGCGCAAGCCUGAUCCAGCCAUGCCGCGUGAGUGAAGAAGGCCCUAGGGUUGUAAAGCUCUUUCACCGGUGAAGAUAAUGACGGUAACCGGAGAAGAAGCCCCGGCUAACUUCGUGCCAGCAGCCGCGGUAAUACGAAGGGGGCUAGCGUUGUUCGGAUUUACUGGGCGUAAAGCGCACGUAGGCGGACUUUUAAGUCAGGGGUGAAAUCCCGGGGCUCAACCCCGGAACUGCCUUUGAUACUGGAAGUCUUGAGUAUGGUAGAGGAGAGUGGAAUUCCGAGUGUAGAGGUGAAAUUCGUAGAUAUUCGGAGGAACACCAGUGGCGAAGGCGGCUCACUGGACCAAUACUGACGCUGAGGUGCGAAAGCGUGGGGAGCAAACAGG
RNAcentral lists this ribosomal RNA (404 nucleotides) under Actinomycetes bacterium. RNAcentral's name for it is "Actinobacteria bacterium partial 16S ribosomal RNA". It matches the Rfam family "Bacterial small subunit ribosomal RNA", at positions 355 to 776 of the family's 1533-position model. The record is from RNAcentral. Lineage: Bacteria; Bacillati; Actinomycetota; Actinomycetes.